GUACUGUCAGCAGCACAUAUACUAAAAUUGGAGAAGAUUCACAUGGCCCCUGCUCAAGGAUGACACGCAAAUUCAUGGCGGUUCCAUAUUUUU
Small nuclear RNA from Loxodonta africana (African savanna elephant), 93 nucleotides. The record is from Ensembl. NCBI's taxonomy places the organism in Eukaryota, Metazoa, Chordata, Mammalia, Proboscidea, Elephantidae.